RNAcentral lists this ribosomal RNA (301 nucleotides) under uncultured bacterium. RNAcentral describes it as "partial 16S ribosomal RNA". It matches the Rfam family "Bacterial small subunit ribosomal RNA", at positions 509 to 807 of the family's 1533-position model. The record is from RNAcentral.
CAGCAGCCGCGGUAAUACGUAGGGUGCAAGCGUUAUCCGGAAUUAUUGGGCGUAAAGAGCUCGUAGGCGGUUUGUCGCGUCUGCUGUGAAAACUGGAGGCUCAACCUCCAGCCUGCAGUGGGUACGGGCAGACUAGAGUGCGGUAGGGGAGAUUGGAAUUCCUGGUGUAGCGGUGGAAUGCGCAGAUAUCAGGAGGAACACCGAUGGCGAAGGCAGAUCUCUGGGCCGUAACUGACGCUGAGGAGCGAAAGCGUGGGGAGCGAACAGGAUUAGAGACCCCGGUAGUCCCUGUCUCUUAUAC